Molecule: long non-coding RNA, 1093 nt
Filed under: Daucus carota (carrot)
Lineage: Eukaryota; Viridiplantae; Streptophyta; Magnoliopsida; Apiales; Apiaceae
Description: long non-coding RNA (DCAR_LNC000169)
Source: RNAcentral
CAGGGUUUAAAGUGUAACUUUCAAAAGUUACAGGGGGUGUUUUGUAAGAUUCAAAACUUAGGUACAACAACUUCACCACCUUCAAAACUUCGGUGACCAAACAGCAAUUUGCCGUCGGCCACCAUACUAACUCGCCGGAAACCUCGUUCCCGGCCUCCCCGAGCUCCCACAAACUCCAGAUAGCAUAUUUGGAAUACCAUAAACGUAAAACCGCCCUCAGAUUCAUCAGAAGCGGCCAUAUUUGGCCAUAGAAUGCAAAACAAAACUCGCCGCCGGCGACUUCCUUUUGAACUCCGGCGAGCCAUUUCCAGACAUCCCACAUAACUGUUGAACAUACACACAAGUUCCUCUCAUCACGCUCUUUCUAAUGAUAUAGAUCACAAUAGCCCAGAAUUUCUAGAUUAAAAACGCCUCUUUUUCAAUUAAGAAAAUUCAUAAACCUCCAAGAACAUUCAAGAACACAACUCCGAGAAUUAAACCAACGUUUCUAUAUGUUAUCGAAGUCAAAAUUCGACAUAUAAUAUACCAAAACGACGAGAAAAACAUGCUCUACAACAUAGAAUCAUCAAAACAACCAAAUAAUAUCAUUUACAAAAAUUCAUCCUUUAAAUCAAAAUAGCUCGAAUUUUGUAAAAUUUAUGUAAAAUCACCUGAUAAAUCUGCAUACAAACGGGUGAUUAAACAUGAUUCUACGCGUCGAUAGCUUCGUUUUGACUAUUCGUACACCUCCAUCGGAUUCCAAUAACACCUCCAAAUCCUCGUUUGAUUAUGAAGAACACGAAGAACACCGCUCGGUUUCUCUCGGUAUUUGUGAAAAGAAACUGGUGAAAAUGAUUUCUACGGUGAAAAUCAGCUAUAGAAAAGUCUAUUUAUAUUUACAAAUACUUGGUACCCCUUUGGAUCGUUUAUGACAUGAAAAUACGUAUUUAAUAGCUUUAUAUUAAUAAAGCGGGGUCCAAUCGGUACUGGUUUUCAAGAUAAUCAUCAAAACGGGGCUUUUUAAUCAGUCAUUAGUAUGCGGGUCCCACUGCAAUUAUUACAAGAUAAGGAUGAAUCAAAAUAUCUAGUUUCACGUUUAUCGAGACAACCAGAU